GAGAGACGACUUUGAGCUGCUAACUCAACACUCCGGAUUUAACCCCCCGGCCC
This 53-nucleotide transfer RNA is filed under the name Afroedura sp. multiporus. RNAcentral describes it as "tRNA-Ser". Lineage: Eukaryota; Metazoa; Chordata; Lepidosauria; Squamata; Gekkonidae. The record is from RNAcentral.